UACGUAGGGGCCGAGCGUUGUCCGGAGUUACUGGGCGUAAAGCGCGCGCAGGCGGCUCGGUAAGCUCGGCGUGAAAGCCCCCGGCUCAACCGGGGAGGGUCGCCGGGGACUGCCGGGCUUGAGGGCGGUAGGGGCUGGUGGAAUUCCCGGUGUAGUGGUGAAAUGCGUAGAGAUCGGGAGGAACACCCGUGGCGAAGGCGGCCAGCUGGGCCGACCCUGACGCUGAGGCGCGAAGGCGUGGGGAGCGAACGGG
RNAcentral lists this ribosomal RNA (253 nucleotides) under uncultured bacterium. RNAcentral's name for it is "partial 16S ribosomal RNA". It matches the Rfam family "Bacterial small subunit ribosomal RNA", at positions 524 to 776 of the family's 1533-position model. The record is from RNAcentral.